ACAUUUAAAGAGUGCGUAAUAGCUCACUGGUCAAGUGGUAGAGCGCCGAAAAUGAACGGGGCUAAAAUCUAAUACCGAAGCUGUGGACUAAUUAAAUUAGUGGUAGAGGAGCAUUGUGUAAGGGGUGAAGCUAAGUUGGAAGACGAAGUGGACUUUACAGAAGAGAGAAUGCUGGCAUGAGUAGCGAAAAGGAGGGUGAGAAUCCCUCCCGUCGAAAGCCUAAGGAUUCCUGAGGAAGGCUCGUCCUCUCAGGGUAAGUCGGGACCUAAGCCCAGGCUGAAAAGCGUAAGCGAUGGACAACAGGUUGAGAUUCCUGUACUAUCUUUGAAUGUUUGAGAGAAGUACUGACGCAGGAGGAUAUGUUGAGCGUGUGAAUGGUAGAGCACGUCUAAGCAAGUAGAUAGAGAAUAGAGGCAAAUCCCUAUUCUUAAUAUCGAGAUGUGAUGGGGAGCGAAAAACAAGUAGUGAAGCAACAAAUUCCAAACUGCCAAGAAAAGGUACUAUUGAGUGAGAAGAUACCCGUACCAAAACCGACACAGGUAGGCAAGGAGAGAAUCCUAAGACGCGCGGAAGAACCUUUGUUAAGGAACUCGGCAAAAUGACCCCGUAACUUCGGGAGAAGGGGUACCAUUAGAUGUGAUAUACAUACGUAUGGAGCAUAGAGUGGUCGCAGAGAAUAGGCCCAAGCAACUGUUUACCAAAAACACAAGUCUCUGCUAAAUCGAAAGAUGAAGUAUAGGGGCUGACACCUGCCCGGUGCUGGAAGGUUAAGGGGAAAUGUUAGAGCAAUCGAAGCAUAGAACUUAAGCCCCAGUAAACGGCGGCCGUAACUAUAACGGUCCUAAGGUAGCGAAAUUCCUUGUCGGGUAAGUUCCGACCCGCACGAAAGGUGUAAUGAUUUGGGCACUGUCUCAACAAAGGAUCCGGUGAAAUUGUAGUAGUCGUGAAGAUGCGACUUACCCACGAUAGGACGGAAAGACCCCGUGGAGCUUUACUGUAGGCUGGCAUUGGAAUUUGGUAUUAAAUGUACAGGAUAGGUGGGAGACUGAGAAACGAGAGCGCCAGUUUUCGUGGAGUCAAUGUUGGGAUACCACUCUUUUGAUACUAAAUUUCUAACUUGAUACUCUGAAGCGAGUAUAAGGACACUGUCAGUUGGGCAGUUUGACUGGGGCGGUCGCCUCCUAAAGAGUAACGGAGGCGUUCAAAGGUUCCCUCAGAAUGGAAGGAAAUCAUUCAAAGAGUGCAAAGGCAAAAGGGAGCUUAACUGCGACACCAACAAGUGGAGCAGAUAGGAAACUAGGACUUAGUGAUCCGGUGGUACCGAGUGGAAGGGCCAUCGCUCAACGGAUAAAAGCUACCCCGGGGAUAACAGGCUUAUCUCCCCCAAGAGUUCACAUCGACGGGGAGGUUUGGCACCUCGAUGUCGGCUCGUCUCAUCCUGGGGCUGGAGUAGGUCCCAAGGGUUGGGCUGUUCGCCCAUUAAAGAGGCACGCGAGCUGGGUUCAGAACGUCGUGAGACAGUUCGGUCCCUAUCCAUCGUGGGCGAAGGAAAUUUGAGAGGAGCUGUCCUUAGUACGAGAGGACCGGGAUGGACAGACCGCUGGUGUAUCAGUUAUCAUGCCAAUGGUAAUGCUGAAUAGCUAAGUCUGGAAGGGAUAAGUGCUGAAGGCAUCUAAGCACGAAGCCCCCCUCAAGAUGAGAUUUCCUGUUGC
Molecule: ribosomal RNA, 1712 nt
Filed under: human oral metagenome
Description: bacterial LSU rRNA
Rfam family: Bacterial large subunit ribosomal RNA
Source: RNAcentral